RNAcentral lists this long non-coding RNA (639 nucleotides) under Helianthus annuus (common sunflower). Lineage: Eukaryota; Viridiplantae; Streptophyta; Magnoliopsida; Asterales; Asteraceae. The record is from RNAcentral.
UUUCUUUUGUUUUGUAUAUCUCAUCUGAAAUCAGUUGUAUCCUGGUUCUCCGAUUGUUGUGAUCCAGUCAGUCCGAUAACCGGAUCUAAUUUGCAAUACCAAGAACCCUAAAUAUAGAAUUAACACAAGCGUUUCUUUUCAUCCUUUGCCUCCAAUUAGUUCUCUUUUUUUUCAAUUGAAAGAACCUAGAUCUCAUCUCUCUACGGUCAAAAGUAACCUGGAGUCAUCGGAACUGGCGGCACUUGAAGCAUCCAAAGGAUUCGAGAGACGAUAAUGUUCCCUGUUUCAAAUCUUUUUGAGGUGCUCAGUUUUUCUGUCGACAAGGUGGUUGUGGCGUUUGAUUUAUAUGGUUAGGGUUUUCCAGAAUUGGAUCCGGGCACUCCAAAUAAGUGAGACAGGCAAGAGUGAGCUACUUCCGUACCAGCUUGAAGGAUUGAAUUUCUUACGUUUCUCAUGGUCUAAAGUCUAAACAAACACAUGUGAUACUUGCAGACGAAAUGGGUCUUGGGAAACGAUACAAAGUAUUGCUUUUUUGGCAUCGUUGUCUAAAGAGAAUGUCUCCCCUCAUUUAGUAGCACCGCUUUCUACAUUAAGGAAUUGGGAACAUUAAUUUGCUAUAUGGGCUGCUAAUAUGAAUGU